GAGCCUCCUUGGGGUCUGUGGGCCAGUUGGGCCUGCUGGGGUAGCCACGGGGCUGGGCGGAUAGGGCCCUGGAUGCCCCGGAGAGGAGACAUUGGAGCUGAGGGAAAGGUCACCCACACCGUGCCUGGGCCCCUGACUACUCGGGUCACUGGGGUGGGGGCUCGUGCGGGAGGGCUGGGGAGCUGCAAGGGAUUCUCCACUGCAGCUGUGAUAAAGCCAGACCUGGGUUCUUCCUAGUGAGUGAAGGAGGCCCUUUACCUUGAGGACUGAGGGAUGAGGCCAGAGGAACGGGGUCCAGCCCUCAGAGGUCCUGCUGUGUCUCUGGCGCUGGUUUCUGUCCCUGUACAGCGGUUCCAUGGCACCCCGUCUCUGGGACUGUGAGAAUCCUCUGAGUAGUUCCCAAGCAGAUGCGGGGGCCGUAUCUGAGUCCCUGAAUCUGACUGUUCCCAGCCCUCUGCUGGGGCACUAGCUAGCUGUUUGGCCCACGUGCUGAGUCCCAUCUCUGCUCCCAGCCCAGGCUUGUGUACAGAGGUGCUCUAACAACAUCAGGCUCCAGCCCUUCCCAGCUGCGGAACCCAUCCCAUUCCUAUAAUCCUGUUGUGUGGUGGGGGAAACUGAGGCCCAAAGUCACAUUCAUUCAUUCAAAAAAUACGAGUGUCCGACUGUGCUGAGCUCUGCUGAGGGUACAGGACAACCUGGUGUGUGUCACAUACACACACACACACACACAUAAGGUUAUUGUGGAUCGUACUGAUAGAUGUGUAGCACAUAAAUUACCAGUAAUAAAACAUAGUACUCUUUAAAUUCUGUUUAGCCAGCUGUUUCUCACAGAAUGCUUUUAUUGAUUUUAGUUGUUGUUGAGUUCUUGUAUUUGUAGCUCACCUGUGGUGGUAAUUCAGCCACAAUAUGGUAAACGGAGCUGCAUCCCAUCUACCUGUAUUAGUUUCCUGUGGCUGCUGAAACAGAUCGCAACACGUCCGGGGGCUUAAAACAACAGACGUUUAUUUUCUCACAGUUUGAAGGUCAGAAAUCCAAAAUCACCACCACUGGGCUGGAAUCAGUGUGGCAAGGCCCAUGCUUGCGUCUGACAGCUCCCGGCGGCUGUAGACAUUCCUUGACUUGUGGCCACAUAAAUCUCGUCUCUGCCUCUGUGGCCACACGGCCUCCUCUUCUGUGUCCCAGAUCUCCUCUGCCUCUCCCUCAUUACAGCCUCCCUUGAUAACCAAAAAUAAUCUCCCCACGUAAAGAUCUUUAAUCACAUUGGCAAAGUUAAAAAAUGUUUAAAAUUUUUACAUUCCAGGGAUUGAGACCUGAUACCUUUGGGGGCCACUGUUCAGCCUACUACUACCCUGCUCUCUUCCCAGUAAGUUUGUCCUUAAAUUUGAUACAUGACCUACUGAUUACUCACUGAUGAACAGAUUGUUAGUGGGAUUGAAAUGUUUCAGCCUCAGUAUUAGUUUUAAAUUUAAUCUGCAUCGUUAAUAUUUUCUCCACCCACUUCUUAAGUCUAGACCUGUGCUGUCCAGUACAUAGCCACUGGAGCUCGGCUGUUUGUGCGCCUGAAGAAACGUGGCUGGUUUGAAUUGAGUUGUGCUUUAAGCGUAAAAUAACACACCAGAAUUUGAAGAGUUAGUACAAAAAAAAGAGUGUAAAAAAUAUCAUUAGUUACUUUAUAUUGAUGACAUGGAAAUGAUAAUAUUUUGGACAUACCUGGGUUAAAUAAAGUAUGCUAUUUAAUUUU
This is a long non-coding RNA of Phocoena sinus (vaquita), 1741 nucleotides long. The record is from Ensembl. Lineage: Eukaryota; Metazoa; Chordata; Mammalia; Artiodactyla; Phocoenidae.